This 448-nucleotide ribosomal RNA is filed under the name uncultured bacterium. RNAcentral's name for it is "partial 16S ribosomal RNA". It matches the Rfam family "Bacterial small subunit ribosomal RNA", at positions 328 to 793 of the family's 1533-position model. The record is from RNAcentral.
CGCCCAGACUCCUACGGGAGGCAGCAGUGGGGAAUAUUGCACAAUGGGGGAAACCCUGAUGCAGCGACGCCGCGUGAGUGAAGAAGUAAUUCGUUAUGUAAAGCUCUAUCAGCGGGGAAGAAAAUGACGGUACCUGAGUAAGAAGCCCCGGCUAACUACGUGCCAGCAGCCGCGGUAAUACGUAGGGGGCAAGCGUUAUCCGGAUUUACUGGGUGUAAAGGGAGCGUAGACGGCAGUGCAAGUCUGGAGUGAAAGGCGGGGGCUCAACCCCCGGACUGCUUUGGAAACUGUAUGGCUGGAGUGCAGGAGAGGUGAGUGGAAUUCCUAGUGUAGCGGUGAAAUGCGUAGAUAUUAGGAGGAACACCAGUGGCGAAGGCGGCCUGCUGGACGAUGACUGACGUUGAGGCUCGAAAGCGUGGGGAGCAAACAGGAUUAGAUACCCCCGUAA